This 497-nucleotide ribosomal RNA is filed under the name uncultured bacterium. RNAcentral describes it as "partial 16S ribosomal RNA". It matches the Rfam family "Bacterial small subunit ribosomal RNA", at positions 28 to 507 of the family's 1533-position model. The record is from RNAcentral.
GAUGAACGCUGGCGGCGUGCCUAAUACAUGCAAGUCGAGCGAACAGACGAGGAGCUUGCUCCUUUGACGUUAGCGGCGGACGGGUGAGUAACACGUAGGUAACCUACCUAUAAGACUGGGAUAACUUCGGGAAACCGGAGCUAAUACCGGAUAAUAUUUCGAACCGCAUGGUUCGAUAGUGAAAGAUGGCUUUGCUGUCACUUAUAGAUGGACCUGCGCCGUAUUAGCUAGUUGGUAAGGUAACGGCUUACCAAGGCAACGAUACGUAGCCGACCUGAGAGGGUGAUAGGCGACACUGGAGGUGAGACACGGUCCAGACGACUACGGGAGGCAGCAGUAGGGAAUCUUACGCAAUGGGCGAAAGCCUGACGGAGCAACGCCGCGUGAGUGAUGAAGGUCUUCGGAUCGUAAAACUCUGUUAUUAGGGAAGAACAAACGUGUAAGUAACUGUGCACGUAUUGACGGUACCUAAUCAGAAAGCCACGGCUAACUACGUG